Molecule: ribosomal RNA, 105 nt
Filed under: uncultured bacterium
Lineage: Bacteria
Description: partial 16S ribosomal RNA
Rfam family: Bacterial small subunit ribosomal RNA
Source: RNAcentral
CCUGUACACACCGCCCGUCACGUCAUGAAAGUCGGUAACACCCGAAGCCCAUGGCCCAACCCGCAAGGGGGGGAGUGGUCGAAGGUGGGACUGGCGAUUGGGACG